GGUGGCCCAGCGCCCCGCGCGGCGCAGACCCUGUCGGCCUCCCCGGUGCCGGCCUCCGGGGAGGCGGCUGCUUCCUGGUGGGGGCGCCACUUUCUUGAGAGCGCCCUUUACCCGCCGGGAAGAGCCCUUUCCCUCUUUUUGCCUUUCAUCCCGGAGUGUGUUAGUCCUCUAUCCUAAGUAAGGGAGGAAGCCCGUCGCCUGAAGAGGCCCCAACCUAUAACCCGGAGUGGUCUCCACUUGGCACAGUCCUAACCUCACGAAGGAGCUUUUAUCCCGAAGAACUCCAAACCCCUUUCCCCGAGAAAUUCCUUCCCUGCAUGCAUUACCAAGUGCUGCUUACUCCCUCGUCUCCCUCACCCGCCACGCCAGUUCCACUCAGUCCCUACCACUUCUUAACCCGAGAAGUCCCCUUAGCCGCCACCGUGAGGGCCCAGACGCUUUCAUCAAUUGCUUGGUCCGAAGGCCUUGCCAUCGAUUCUAAGACACCCCCUCAUCCACCCACACAAGCAGGAGACUCCCGCCGGGUCAGCCGGUGCACCCGACUCUUUUCCUUUGAGUGGCAUAGCGGAGAGGUAAGGAGCGAGGCGGGGUAGUCUCAAGGUGUGUGUAUGUGGGCCGCGGCCCGGCUUCCCACGGCCCCGCGCCGUCCGCGAUCUCCGUGCGGACCCUUUCUGUAAGCGCGCAGCAAAGCGCGAUUUUUGGGAGUCACGGUGGCCGAGUGGUUAAGGCGUUGGACUCGAAAUCCAAUGGGGUUUCCCCGCACAGGUUCGAAUCCUGUUCGUGACGGUGGCUUUUUUUCGCCUCCAUCUUCCUAGCAUAUAAGAGGAACCCCUGUACUCGCACGUGUCUUUCCCGCACUUCCCUUUCCGUCUGCAUAAAGGGAGGCUAAAGGUCACAUCUCUGCACUUGGGGAGGACUGGGGUGGUCCCAGAUCUCGGAAAGCUUAAUUAUGCAGAGCUGUAUUGGCUGCUAGGAUACCAGACCCUCAGAAUUCUGUAACUUAUGAUUUGCUAGCAGAUGUUGACACACGUUCCAUUCUUUUGAAGGAUGGGGAAGGAUUUGAGUGAAGUAGAGUUGAAUUUUUUCAGGGAAUGUGAGCUUGUGCAAUAAUCAUCAAACCUGGAAUUUCUAGGAAAAUAGAGCAUCUCUGAAUUAUUUCUUCCUUCCUUCCUUCCUCCUUCUUUCCUUCCUUCCUUCCUUCCUUUUUUUUGGUACCAGGGAUUGAACUCAGGGGCACUCGACCACUGAGCCACAUCCCCAGCCCUAUUUUGUAUUUUUUUUUUUUUUUUUUAGAGACAGGGUCUCUUGAGUUGCUUAAGGGCCUCACCAAGUUGCUUAGGCUGGCUUUUAUCCUCCUGUCUCAGCCUCUGGAGCCACUGGGAUUGCUGGGAUUAUAGGCGUGGGCCAGGCCGGCUACACCUCUGAAUUUUGUAACUGGAAGUAACACCUUCAAAGUCUGAGGCCACUGAAGACCCAAGAAAGAGGGCAUUUUCAUUAGGAUUUUCUUGAGGCGGACAUAGGAAGGGGCCUAUUGGAACAUAAACACUGCAGAUCCAGCUGGAGCCAGGGAGUUGGAAAAUAAUUUUAUUUUUUAUAAAGUGCUUGUUGUGUACCAGGUACUGUUCUCUGUGUUAACCAAACUAGGGAAUUCAUCUGUUCUUAUGCUCUCCUUUACUCAACAUCACUUAGUUCUUAAUCUAAGAUACUUGUUUUUGUACUUCAUUUCUUGUGCAGUGCAUCUUCUCCAAAA
This 1750-nucleotide long non-coding RNA is filed under the name Marmota monax (woodchuck). The stretch from base 705 to 786 matches the Rfam family "tRNA". The record is from RNAcentral. Lineage: Eukaryota; Metazoa; Chordata; Mammalia; Rodentia; Sciuridae.